This 2829-nucleotide long non-coding RNA is filed under the name Triticum aestivum (bread wheat). Its description in RNAcentral is "long non-coding RNA (TAES_LNC025483)". The record is from RNAcentral. Lineage: Eukaryota; Viridiplantae; Streptophyta; Magnoliopsida; Poales; Poaceae.
CUUGGUGUGAAAGCAACUGGCGGAAGCACAUCAUGCUCUUGUGCCUGAGACCGUCUUUUUAUUUGAAUAAUCUCAGCUCAUGUGGGAAAACUAAAGCAUGAUGGCACGAACUUCAGAAGAUGUCAUGUACUCAAAGAUGACUUGAAUUCGAUGGUUCUACAAAACAGAUAAAAAUAAAGAUCAUUAUUCUAUGGAUAAGUAAGGAAAAGGGAACAAAUAAUAAACAUCUACUUCGGAUUAGCUAGUGUUAAUAAACCAUUAAAGAUUACUGAGUGUACAAAAAAUGAUGUGCGGUCAGACUAUCGAUACUCUUUAGCCUAUAUAACCUAGGUGUACGUCAUCCCUUUCUCUACAAAGUACAAUCUAGCAGUCCUUUAUUGUUAUUGUUGAAUCAAGAAAGCAAUGGAAUGAUAAAUGGAUACAUUGAACUUACACGAAAGGCCACCAGAUAUCUCAAAGAAAAGAUUGCUGAUGUAAACAUGUCUAUGCCAACCUGUGGAUAUUUAUUUGAGUAGAUGUCACUAAUUUCAAAAGUUAAUAUCUGGUAUAGGGGAAAUUCAUGUAGGUAGUAAUGUGGUGGUGGAACUGAAUUAUACAAUAAAUGCAUAUGCAUAUAUGAAACACAAUCUCUGUCUGUUGUCUAAAUAUAUGAAAUCUGCUUAUAAUCUUGAUCCAGAGCAGCCAGUAGGUCUCUAAGCUGCUUCUUUAAAAAGGAAGAUAACCAAAAAACUAAUAAUGAUUGUAGCUACAUCUUUAAUCUGUGAAGUGAUACACAUAGCCAAAGGCCCUUGAAGAUCACAUGGCUAAGGAGCAUGUCAAUAUCAGCUUUUAUGCAAGUAGAAGCAGCACACUUCAUUCACACUGCACUAUGAUAGCAGUAUGUAUACAUUGUGUAGAUACCAUUACUGAAGUAUAGUGAUAAGAAAAGAAACAUGAUUACUGCACAUUAUUUAUUCGUAAUUUAUUAUAUUUGAAGCCCCACAGAAAAAAUAAAUAAGUUGUAAAGAUCACCAUGUACGUUGAUAUGUUCACUAAAUCCUGAACUAUAGUCAGUUCAUAAUUUAAAAGCAUUAUCUCAGGGGCUUGAACUAAAAAAAAUGAAGAACCAAAUAUUAACUACAUGGGCGGGUUCACAACAUAUAUAUAGCAGCAACUCUUAUAGAUCCUUCCUAAUACAGACAAUAGAAAUAUUUUGGAGAGGGUAUUGAAGAUAAAUUAAAUUUAUUUGGUUCCUAGCCAUUUAUGUGGGGUUACAUGAUGUAUUCAACGGCCAUGAGAAUAGUGCAAGGAAUUUAAUGAUACAAAGCUAUACAUGGAAUUUAAGGAUAAAGAGUUACUUGUCUGCUGAGUGGGUUCAGAGCGACGAACGUGAAUGGUGUCAAGGAGGUCAACAGUCACACUGCCAGAUCACUGCAGUUCCAUUGCUCGACACCAUACAUAGAGAGAUGAUACGAGUUUUCUGCUCUAUGAGCUAAAGUUCUGCAGUAGAGACACGAAUCGGAAUGUACAUCAGGAAUUGGGUAAUCAGGGUAUUGCGGAAAAGAAGGCAACAUUGUAUGGCAUGUCUAGCCGUUCGACUCCCAUUUCACUCCGGGGCACCUGAGUCUAGGGCAUGCAUGUAUACAUCAAUCUCAUACCCUGCAGUCCUGCACACAUGCAACAGACAAGGACUCAGCACAGAAUAUUAUACAUACUUAAACCAAGAAAUGAGACUGCAAUAAGCGAAUCUGAAUCAUUCAAACCUGACAAAAAUACAGCUUCUAGCCAAGUAGCCUGAUAGUCCGGAUGGACAGCAACAUGAUUGUGAUAGCUGUCAUUGUUGCCCAUAAGCAACCAAGUGAUGUGGCGGUAAGUGCCCACGAGCCGAAGCUCAAGCACAGGAAUCGCUCGUACAGGCAUACUAAUAAGAAACUGUCCAUUUACAGCAACGUUAACAAAAAUUCUUGGGUCUCCAAAAGAUGCCCUGCCUACUGAAAGAGCACGAAGACCAAAAGGGAACCACUCAUGAGAAUGUGUGGUGGUAACAAAGACCACAAGAAGGUCCAGAAGAAUUUGGAAAAAAGAAAGCCCUAUGAUUACCCAGGCGAUGUUUCUACUUCUAUCUGCCCCACUUGCUCGGAUUGCUUCGAGCAUCGACAGGCACAGAUGGUUGGGGCCUGAAAAUGGCACACUAGAUUGAGUAUCUUGCAAUGCAAGCAAAGCACUGGGGUAUAAGUAAAGAAAUGGCGAGCACCUUUUUGCAUCGGAGGUCUGUCAGGCAAUGGUAAGUUAUCUUUCUCCAUGGAACUGCCAAGUUGUGGUGAAUUGUCCUUUUCAGCAACAGACUCAUUAACUGAUCCUACUGUUUCAAUGGCCUGUGAGAAGAAACACACAUAAAUAAGCAUAGAAGGAAGGAGAAGUUUGAAAAUACAGAUGAUCUGGAAGUUACCAAGCUCUCUUUGUCUGUGUCAACAAACUGCUUUGUCUUUAAAAAGAAUGCACUGAGAUUUUGCACUAACAUACUUGAACAGCUUCAGAGAUUCCAGUAAUCACUCUAAUGACAUCUACGCAAGCAAAGAAGAGUUAUUAUAAAAUCACCACCAAACAAACGAGAGAAAAGAUGAUUAGUCACAAAAUCACUUGUAAAGCGUUCAGGCAUAUCUGUAGGCCUAGGGAGCUGAGCUAUUGGAGUCAAUGCAUACGUACAGAAGGGGAACUCUGCUUCCAUUCCAGUUCUCUCCACAAGUUCAGUGCGCUUUAUAAACUUAAUCAUUAAAUGACCUUCCACUGGUCUAAAAACAUACUUCCACGGGAAUACCAGGAACUUCUGAAACUCGACGGUGUACAAAA